UACGGAGGGGGUUAGCGUUGUUCGGAAUGACUGGGCGUAAAGCGCGCGUAGGCGGAUCAUCAAGUCGGGGGUGAAAUCCCGGGGCUCAACCCCGGAAUGGCCUUCGAGACUGGUGGUCUUGAGUUCGAGAGAGGUGAGUGGAAUUCCGAGUGUAGAGGUGAAAUUCGUAGAUAUUCGGAGGAACACCAGUGGCGAAGGCGGCUCACUGGCUCGACACUGACGCUGAGGUGCGAAAGCGUGGGGGCGAACAGG
This 252-nucleotide ribosomal RNA is filed under the name uncultured bacterium. RNAcentral describes it as "partial 16S ribosomal RNA". It matches the Rfam family "Bacterial small subunit ribosomal RNA", at positions 524 to 776 of the family's 1533-position model. The record is from RNAcentral.